RNAcentral lists this ribosomal RNA (253 nucleotides) under uncultured bacterium. Its description in RNAcentral is "partial 16S ribosomal RNA". It matches the Rfam family "Bacterial small subunit ribosomal RNA", at positions 524 to 776 of the family's 1533-position model. The record is from RNAcentral. RNAcentral also lists the same sequence under 1 other name.
UACGAAGGGUGCAAGCGUUGCUCGGAAUUAUUGGGCGUAAAGGGUAGGUAGGUUGUCUUGUUUGUCUAAGGUGAAAUCCCACGGCUUAACUGUGGAAGUGCCUUAGAAACGGCAAGACUAGAGUCCUAGAGGGGUUUGUGGAAUUCCCGGUGUAGCGGUGAAAUGCGUAGAGAUCGGGAGGAACACCAGCGGCGAAGGCGGCAAACUGGAUAGGAACUGACACUCAACUACGAAAGCGUGGGGAUCAAACAGG